UACGGAGGGUGCAAACGUUGUCCGGAAUCACUGGGCGUAAAGAGCAUGUAGGUGGUUUGGUAAGUGGGUGAUUAAAGACCGAUGCUUAACAUCGGGAAUGUUGCCUAUACUGCCUGACUUGAAGAUGACAGGGGUAAGCGGAACUUUAGGUGUAGGAGUGAAAUCCGUAGAUAUCUAAAGGAACACCGAUGGCGAAGGCAGCUUACUGGGUCUUCUUGACACUGAGAUGCGAAAGCGUGGGGAGCGAACGGG
This 252-nucleotide ribosomal RNA is filed under the name uncultured bacterium. Its description in RNAcentral is "partial 16S ribosomal RNA". It matches the Rfam family "Bacterial small subunit ribosomal RNA", at positions 524 to 776 of the family's 1533-position model. The record is from RNAcentral.